This is a long non-coding RNA of Gadus macrocephalus (Pacific cod), 1052 nucleotides long. RefSeq lists it as uncharacterized. The transcript has 3 exons. The record is from RefSeq and is a predicted model, not a curated record. Lineage: Eukaryota; Metazoa; Chordata; Actinopteri; Gadiformes; Gadidae.
AGACUUCCCUCAGUUGCCCCAAAUGCAAUUUGAAACCACCAGGAAAGCCAUGGGAGAAUCUAGGAGGAAUAUGGGUCUCCAAGUCCUUGAGCCAUCAGUCUUUGAUGAAGAGACAUGUUCAAUGUGUGGAGCUGACAGGCCCCCUGGAGAAGCACCUGCCAACACAGACUGGAUCCAGUGUGAUAAAUGUGACCGGUGGUUCCAUGCCGUCUGUUUAACCAUGGACCCCAGGACACUUCAAGAGCUGAAGCAAAAGCAAUGGCUGUAUGUGCUGUGCAAAUAAAUAUUUUACCUGUUACCUGUCCUACAAGUGCUCCAUGACCUUUAUAUUACCUUUACAUUUCUCUCGUUCCGCUGCUGCAACUUGCACCACAUCCCAUGAGCCCCAGCCAGCAUGUCUCCUCUCCUUCUCUUCGCUGCUGUGUUGGCCUUAGUGCUGUGUGCAAGGCACCGACUGAUAUGACCAUAUUAACCGGUGAGCUGACUACUUGUACACAAGGAACUAUGUGAUUUUACUGUAUAGAUUUUGAGAAAUUUUCAUUAGAAAAACGUACACAUGCAUAUUCUUGCCUUUGCAAUAUUGCAUUAUGUCAGCACUUUGAAGUGGGCUAUAGACUGAAUUUCACAUAAGUUCAGGCACUGACUGAUAUGACCAUAUUAACUGGUGUUCUGACUACUUGUACACAAGGAGCUAUGUGAUUUUACUGUAUAGAUUUAGAGAAAAUGUCAUUUGAAAAACGUACACAUGCAUAUUCUCGCCUUUGCAAUAUUGCAUUAUGUCAGCAUUUUGAAGUGGGCUAUAGACCGAAUUUCACGUAAGUUCAGGCACUGGUUGAUAUGACCAUAUUAACCGGUGUGCUGACUACUUGUACACAAGGAACCAUGUGAUUUUACUGUAUAGAUUGAGAGAAAAUGUAAUUUGAAAAACGUACAUAUGCAUAUUCUGCUGGCCAAUGGUGUCGAACGUCCGCACUGGCGGCCAACUUGCCACAGUCAGCUGCUCACCCAUAACACUGUGUUGGCAGUGGUACAUGUACUUUUUAAGUAACCAU